This 464-nucleotide ribosomal RNA is filed under the name uncultured bacterium. RNAcentral's name for it is "partial 16S ribosomal RNA". It matches the Rfam family "Bacterial small subunit ribosomal RNA", at positions 28 to 507 of the family's 1533-position model. The record is from RNAcentral.
GACGAACGCUGGCGGCGUGCUUAACACAUGCAAGUCGAACGGUAAGGCCCUUUCGGGGGUACACGAGUGGCGAACGGGUGAGUAACACGUGGGUGAUCUGCCCUGCACUUUGGGAUAAGCCUGGGAAACUGGGUCUAAUACCGGAUAGGACUACGCGAUGCAUGUCGUGUGGUGGAAAGCUUUUGCGGUGUGGGAUGGGCCCGCGGCCUAUCAGCUUGUUGGUGGGGUGAUGGCCUACCAAGGCGACGACGGGUAGCCGGCCUGAGAGGGUGGCCGGCCACACUGGGACUGAGAUACGGACCAGACUCCUACGGGAGGCAGAAGUGGGGAAUAUUGCACAAUGGGCGCAAGCCUGAUGCAGCGACGCCGCGUGGGGGAUGACGGCCUUCGGGUUGUAAACCCCUUUCAGCACAGACGAAGCGUAAGUGACGGUAUGUGCAGAAGAAGCACCGGCCAACUACGUG